GCCUGUUUAGGGUCGUCAAGCGGUCCCCGAUCUCUAUUCCACGGGCUUCCUUCGACAGAGCAA
RNAcentral lists this microRNA precursor (63 nucleotides) under Daphnia magna. Its description in RNAcentral is "Dma-Novel-7_pre stem-loop". The record is from RNAcentral. Lineage: Eukaryota; Metazoa; Arthropoda; Branchiopoda; Diplostraca; Daphniidae.